This 612-nucleotide ribosomal RNA is filed under the name Triticum aestivum (bread wheat). RNAcentral's name for it is "partial small subunit ribosomal RNA". Lineage: Eukaryota; Viridiplantae; Streptophyta; Magnoliopsida; Poales; Poaceae. The record is from RNAcentral.
AUGAAUCCUAGGGAUGAUAUCUCUGGAAAUCGGAUCAGCAACCUAAAUUGCUUGUCUUGGAAUUGUCGCGGAGGGGGGAACGCCAUUACUAUUCGUGAUCUGGAAGGCCUGAUAAAGGCUAAUGAUUCCCAGAUUGUUUUCCUCUGUGAGACGCGGCAAAGAGAAGAAAGGAUGCGACGGCACUGUCGAAGGUUAGGCCUACGUGGCUUUACCGGAGUAAGUAGCAAUGGAAAUAGUGGAGGACUUGCACUAUACUGGGAUGAUAGUUUGUUCGUUGAAGUCCAGGAUACUAGUGAUAGAUAUAUUGAUGUCCAUGUGAGGGUGUCUCCGGAGGAUCCCUUGUGGCGGCUGACUUGCAUUUAUGGAGAACCGAGAGCUGAGAAUAGACACCAUAUGUGGAGCAAGCUGCAGGAGUUAAAACAAAAAUCAAACUUACCUUGGUUGAUAGUUGGAGACUUUAAUGAAGCCCUAUGGCAGUUCGAGCAUCUCUCGUCUACUCCUCGCCCAGAGAAUCAGAUGGCUGCUUUCAGAGAGGCACUUGCUGUUUGUGAGCUGAGGGAUAUUGGCUUCUCUGGCUUGCCAUUCACCUUUGACAAUAAGCAGAGAGGGUAG